GUGCAUAUUUUUUUGAGCAGUAUUGUCACAAAUCCAGUCUAUGAACUUCUGUUCACUCACCACCAGAGGUCACGCGCUCACUACAUUGAC
Molecule: long non-coding RNA, 90 nt
Organism: Sinocyclocheilus anshuiensis
Lineage: Eukaryota; Metazoa; Chordata; Actinopteri; Cypriniformes; Cyprinidae
Exons: 4
Source: RefSeq, a predicted model, not a curated record